RNAcentral lists this ribosomal RNA (611 nucleotides) under uncultured bacterium. RNAcentral's name for it is "bacterial SSU rRNA". The stretch from base 1 to 518 matches the Rfam family "Bacterial small subunit ribosomal RNA", at positions 338 to 873 of the family's 1533-position model. The record is from RNAcentral.
CCUACGGGAGGCAGCAGUGGGGAAUCUUGCGCAAUGGGCGAAAGCCUGACGCAGCCAUGCCGCGUGAAUGAUGAAGGUCUUAGGAUUGUAAAAUUCUUUCACCGGGGACGAUAAUGACGGUACCCGGAGAAGAAGCCCCGGCUAACUUCGUGCCAGCAGCCGCGGUAAUACGAAGGGGGCUAGCGUUGCUCGGAAUUACUGGGCGUAAAGGGAGCGUAGGCGGAUAGUUUAGUCAGAGGUGAAAGCCCAGGGCUCAACCUUGGAAUUGCCUUUGAUACUGGCUAUCUUGAGUGUGGGAGAGGUAUGUGGAACUCCGAGUGUAGAGGUGAAAUUCGUAGAUAUUCGGAAGAACACCAGUGGCGAAGGCGACAUACUGGCCCAUUACUGACGCUGAGGCUCGAAAGCGUGGGGAGCAAACAGGAUUAGAUACCCUGGUAGUCCACGCUGUAAACGAUGAGUGCUAGUUGUCGGCAUGCAUGCAUGUCGGUGACGCGAGCUACGCAUAAGACGACUCCGCCGUCGGGAGGUACGGUCGGCGAAGUAAGUUAAACGUUACGAAAGUAAGUUAGUUACGGCGNGAGACGNGCGACGGACGACGACGAGGGAGGAGG